RNAcentral lists this ribosomal RNA (269 nucleotides) under uncultured bacterium. RNAcentral's name for it is "partial 16S ribosomal RNA". It matches the Rfam family "Bacterial small subunit ribosomal RNA", at positions 524 to 776 of the family's 1533-position model. The record is from RNAcentral.
UACGGAGGGUGCGAGCGUUGUCCGGAAUCACUGGGCGUAAAGGGCGCGUAGGCGGCAUGCCAAGCGUGUGGUGAAAGCCCGGGGCUCAACCCCGGGUCGGCCGUGCGGACUGGCGUGCUCGAGCACUGUAGGGGCGGGUGGAAUUCCGGGUGUAGGGGUGGAAUGCGUAGAGAUCCGGAAGAACACCGGUGGCGAAGGCGGCCCGCUGGGCAGGAAGGCUCGCAAGAGCCGGCUGACGCUGAGGCGCGACAGCGUGGGGAGCAAACAGG